Molecule: transfer RNA, 72 nt
Filed under: Urocitellus parryii (Arctic ground squirrel)
Lineage: Eukaryota; Metazoa; Chordata; Mammalia; Rodentia; Sciuridae
Also listed under: 1 other name
Description: Spermophilus parryii (Arctic ground squirrel) tRNA
Rfam family: tRNA
About the family: Transfer RNA (tRNA) molecules are approximately 80 nucleotides in length. Their secondary structure includes four short double-helical elements and three loops (D, anti-codon, and T loops).
Source: Rfam by way of RNAcentral
GGGGAUAUAGCUCAGUUGGUAGAGUGCUUGCCUUGCAUGCACAAGGCCCUGGGUUCAAUCCCCAGCACCUCA